Molecule: long non-coding RNA, 1071 nt
Filed under: Betta splendens (Siamese fighting fish)
Lineage: Eukaryota; Metazoa; Chordata; Actinopteri; Anabantiformes; Osphronemidae
Description: lncRNA (ENSBSLG00000026056.1)
Source: RNAcentral
AUGGAAGGCGUCAUCACGCUCAGCUCCAAGGGACAUCCAGUGUCAGCAGAGGUAGUAGAGGAGGUGUCCGAAUACCCUCUGCUGGCCAAAGGAGCGAAUCUGCAGUAUGUGCCCAGGCCAACAAUGGAUCUGGAAGGGCUGCUGCAGAGACUGCCAUGUCUGUAUGAUGGCGCCGGGAAAUGGGUAGCAGCCUUCGAAGAAGAAACCAUAGCCACCAUCCUGGCAGUGGGUGACCUCAAGGCCCUCCUUGGAAAGGUGCUGGGGAAGCAGGAGAUGGAGGAGACGCUGAGAUCGACACAGAUGAAUGCAUAUGCAGGUACGCAAGCACACGAUGGAGAGUUGUUCAACAUGCAUCGCAAUGUGCUGUGGACAGCUCUGAGACUUCGUUAUCCAACCAGAAUUCAACCUGAUAGCAUUGUAGCUGUGCCAAUAAAAGAUGAUGAGAGCCCACAAGCCUAUGUUCACCUCACUCGAAAAGAAUGGAUUAGACAAACAGGUGGAAGACCUGAUGAGGACAUUUUCCAUAGGCAGGCUCUCAGAAAAAGAAUUGUUGAUGGUUUGCCCUUGCCUGCACAGAGUAAGCUGGGAGAUGCAGUGGGGCUAUACACCAUGCCCUUUGAGCAAUUCAUCGACCAUGUGAUCGAUGCUGUGACCAAAAUUCGUUCUGCUGCGCUCCGUCAGAAGCAGCAGGAUGAAGAGACGGUGAGAAAACUGACCCGGCAGCAGCUAACUGAAGGGAGGAAAAAGAUUCAAGCAGGCGUUCAGCCUGUGGCUGCAGCUGGACAUGCACCUCCCCCCACCAUCACAGCUCCACCUGCUGUCCAGCCACAAGUGAUCUAUGUCCAGUCAGGAGGCUGGAGAGGCGGCCCACCAAGGAUGAGAGGGGGAGCCGCGAUUGGUAGAGCAAGGGUGAUGUGGGGUAAUCAAGAAAAUGAGGUAAGGUUCUAUCGCUGUUGGAGAGUCGGACACAUGAGACGUCAGUGUUACGGGUCGAUGCGCCAGAUCCCACAAGGAGCACCACGGCAGAUAGGACUCACCAGUCCAUGGCAGGGUCUUCCUGCUGGAUACUAG